This 494-nucleotide ribosomal RNA is filed under the name uncultured bacterium. Its description in RNAcentral is "partial 16S ribosomal RNA". It matches the Rfam family "Bacterial small subunit ribosomal RNA", at positions 39 to 507 of the family's 1533-position model. The record is from RNAcentral.
GGGGGGGGGGGGGGGGGUGGGGGAGGGGGGCAGGGCGGAGGGAAGGGCCGGCGUUGCCUUGUGGGUUGCGGGUACUCGAGCGGCGAACGGGGGGGUAACACGUGAGUGAUCUGCCCCCAACUUGGGUAUAAGCCUGGGAAACUAGGUCUACUUCCCGAUAGGACUGCAGGGUGGUGCCUGUGCUUGAAAACGAUCUUCUAGUGGUUGGGGAUGAGCUCUCUGCCUAUCAGCUUGUUGGUGGGGUAAUGGCCGACCACGGCGGCGACGGGUAGCCGUCCUGAGAGGGUGGACGGCCACAUUGGGACUGCGAUACGGGCCAGACUCCUACGGGAGGCAGCAGUGGGGAAGAUUGCACCAGGGGCGGAAGCCUGAUGCAGCGACGCCGCGUGGGGGAUGACGGCAUUCGGGUUGUAAACUCCUUUCGACCGCGAGGAAGCCACCUGGUUGGAAGGGUGGUGACGGUAGUGGUAGAAGAAGCACCGGCUAACUACGUG